CCUACGGGAGGCAGCAGUGGGGCAUAUUGCACAAUGGGGGAAACCCUGAUGCAGCGACGCCGCGUGAGUGAAGAAGUAGUUCGUUAUGUAAAGCUCUAUCAGCAGGGAAGAAAAUGACGGUACCUGAGUAAGACGCCCCGGCUAACUACGAGCCAGCAGCCGCGGUAAUACGUAGGGGGCAAGCGUUAUCCGGAUUGAAUGGGGGUAAAGGGAGCGUAGACGGCAGUGCAGGUCUGGAGUGAAAGGCGGGGGCUCAACCCCCGCACUGCUCUGGAAACGGUACGGCUGGAGUGCAGGAGAGGUAAGUGGAAUGCGCGGUGUAGCGGUGAAAUGCGUAGAUAUCAGGAGGAACACCAGUGGCGAAGGCGGCUUACUGGACUGUAACUGACGUUGAGGCUCGAAAGCGUGGGGAGCAAACAGGAUUAGAUACCCUUGUAGUC
Molecule: ribosomal RNA, 440 nt
Filed under: uncultured bacterium
Lineage: Bacteria
Description: partial 16S ribosomal RNA
Rfam family: Bacterial small subunit ribosomal RNA
Source: RNAcentral